RNAcentral lists this transfer RNA (68 nucleotides) under Yezoterpnosia nigricosta. Its description in RNAcentral is "tRNA-Ser". Lineage: Eukaryota; Metazoa; Arthropoda; Insecta; Hemiptera; Cicadidae. The record is from RNAcentral.
AAGGAAUAUUUGUUUAAGAAGAAGCUGCUAACUAUCUUUUAUAAUGGUUAAAUUCCAUUUUUUCCUUG